RNAcentral lists this ribosomal RNA (492 nucleotides) under uncultured bacterium. RNAcentral describes it as "partial 16S ribosomal RNA". It matches the Rfam family "Bacterial small subunit ribosomal RNA", at positions 30 to 507 of the family's 1533-position model. The record is from RNAcentral.
AUUGAACGCUGGCGGCAUGCUUUACACAUGCAAGUCGAACGGUAACAGGCCUUCGGGUGCUGACGAGUGGCGAACGGGUGAGUAAUGCAUCGGAACGUGCCCAGAGGUGGGGGAUAACGCAGCGAAAGCUGUGCUAAUUCCGCAUGUGAUCUGAGGAUGAAAGCGGGGGACCAAGCAGCAAUGUUUGGCCUCGCGCCUCUGGAGCGGCCGAUGUCAGAUUAGGUAGUUGGUGGGGUAAAGGCCUACCAAGCCGACGAUCUGUAGCUGGUCUGAGAGGACGACCAGCCACACUGGGACUGAGACACGGCCCAGACUCCUACGGGAGGCAGCAGUGGGGAAUUUUGGACAAUGGGCGCAAGCCUGAUCCAGCAAUGCCGCGUGCGGGAAGAAGGCCUUCGGGUUGUAAACCGCUUUUGUACGGAACGAAAAGGCUCUGGCUAAUACCUGGGGCUGAUGACGGUACCGUAAGAAUAAGCACCGGCUAACUACGUG